GCGAAAUGUCAGUUUGAAAAUAAUUUUUAAGUGUGACAGUAGUGAAUUCAUAGUCAAGAGCGAAUCACCCGACGAUCUUCGAAACAACAACGAAAUACAAAGCCAAAUAGCCAGUACAUACACAMAAAUCCUGAGCAGAAAACAGUGAAGAGUUCACAAACUUGUUAGUAAAAAAAGUCUAAUAACUCUAAAACAAUAAAGAAAAUAUAAAAAACCCGAAUCCAUACGCGAUGGCCACCGUUCAACGUAAAUUGGUUCAUAAACAAUUCAACUCCCCCAUGGGACUUUAUUCGCAGCAAAAUGUCAAGGAAACAUUGGAUCGUGAGCUGAAGGCUUUCGGCGCUGAUGGG
Bactrocera latifrons is the source of this 350-nucleotide long non-coding RNA. RefSeq lists it as uncharacterized. The transcript is spliced from 3 exons. The record is from RefSeq and is a predicted model, not a curated record. NCBI's taxonomy places the organism in Eukaryota, Metazoa, Arthropoda, Insecta, Diptera, Tephritidae.